RNAcentral lists this ribosomal RNA (465 nucleotides) under Vreelandella stevensii. Its description in RNAcentral is "partial 16S ribosomal RNA". It matches the Rfam family "Bacterial small subunit ribosomal RNA", at positions 338 to 795 of the family's 1533-position model. The record is from RNAcentral. Lineage: Bacteria; Pseudomonadati; Pseudomonadota; Gammaproteobacteria; Oceanospirillales; Halomonadaceae.
CCUACGGGAGGCAGCAGUGGGGAAUAUUGGACAAUGGGGGCAACCCUGAUCCAGCCAUGCCGCGUGUGUGAAGAAGGCCCUCGGGUUGUAAAGCACUUUCAGUGAGGAAGAACGCCUGGGGGGUAAUACCCAUCAGGAAAGACAUCACUCACAGAAGAAGCACCGGCUAACUCCGUGCCAGCAGCCGCGGUAAUACGGAGGGUGCGAGCGUUAAUCGGAAUUACUGGGCGUAAAGCGCGCGUAGGUGGCUUGAUAAGCCGGUUGUGAAAGCCCCGGGCUCAACCUGGGAACGGCAUCCGGAACUGUCAAGCUAGAGUGCAGGAGAGGAAGGUGGAAUUCCCGGUGUAGCGGUGAAAUGCGUAGAGAUCGGGAGGAAUACCAGUGGCGAAGGCGGCCUUCUAGACUGACACUGACACUGAGGUGCGAAAGCGUGGGUAGCAAACAGGAUUAGAUACCCUUGUAGUC